AUGGCUCAGGACGAACGCUGGCGGCGUGCCUAACACAUGCAAGUCGAGCGAGGAGAUCCUCGGGAUGAUCCUAGCGGCGGACGGGUGAGUAACACGUGGGCAACCUGCCUCAUAGAGAGGAAUAGCCUUCCGAAAGGGAGAUUAAUACCUCAUAACAUUGCAGUUUCGCAUGGAACAGCAAUUAAAGGAGCAAUCCGCUAUGAGAUGGGCCCGCGGCGCAUUAGCUAGUUGGUGAGGUAACGGCUCACCAAGACGAUGAUACGUAGCCGACCUGAGAGGGUGAUCGGCCACAUUGGGACUGAGACACGGCCCAAACUCCUACGGGAGGCAGCAGUAGGGAAUCUUCCGCAAUGGACGAAAGUCUGACGGAGCAACGCCGCGUGAGUGAAAAGAAGGUUUUCGGAUCGUAAAACUCUGUUGUCAGAGAAGAACAAGUUGGAGAGUAACUGCUCCAGCCUUGACGGUAUCUGACCAGAAAGCCACGGCUAACUACGUGCCAGCCGCCGC
This 507-nucleotide ribosomal RNA is filed under the name uncultured bacterium. RNAcentral's name for it is "bacterial SSU rRNA". It matches the Rfam family "Bacterial small subunit ribosomal RNA", at positions 19 to 518 of the family's 1533-position model. The record is from RNAcentral.